This 491-nucleotide ribosomal RNA is filed under the name Sphaenognathus munchowae. Its description in RNAcentral is "eukaryotic LSU rRNA". It matches the Rfam family "Eukaryotic large subunit ribosomal RNA", at positions 677 to 1139 of the family's 3401-position model. Lineage: Eukaryota; Metazoa; Arthropoda; Insecta; Coleoptera; Lucanidae. The record is from RNAcentral.
AGCAUGUGCGCGAGUCAUUGGGACAAACCUAAAGGCGAAAUGAAAGUGAAGGUCCGCCUAGGACCUAGGGAGGAUGGGCCCGCCCUCGGGCCCCGCACUCCCGGGGCGUCUCGUUCUCACAGCGAGAGGAGGCGCACCCAGAGCGUACACGCUGGGACCCGAAAGAUGGUGAACUAUGCCUGGUCAGGACGAAGUCAGGGGAAACCCUGAUGGAGGUCCGUAGCGAUUCUGACGUGCAAAUCGAUCGUCGGAACUGGGUAUAGGGGCGAAAGACUAAUCGAACCAUCUAGUAGCUGGUUCCCUCCGAAGUUUCCCUCAGGAUAGCUGGCGCUCGCCGCGCGCGAGUCUCAUCCGGUAAAGCGAAUGAUUAGAGGCAUUGGGGUCGAAACGGCCUCAACCUAUUCUCAAACUUUAAAUGGGUGAGAUCUCCGGCUUGCUCGAACCGUGAAGCCGCGAGAUUUCGGAUCAGAGUGCCAAGUGGGCCACUUUUG